UUGCAAUGAAGCAUCUGCCGCUCACUGUUUUUUUGUUAUUUUUUUUCCUGAUUACUCCAAUUCAAAAACAUCAUCCUACCAGCUCUUUUAGUUGUUAAAUAUCCCUGUGCUUGUGGCUACAUUUCUUUGCACUGGAGAAAUGAUCUCAUUAACAAACUAGUUCUGUGCGUCCUUAACACUGAGGCCCCUCGCCUGCAGCUGGAGGCAGCUCUCUGUUCAGCCCCAGUGCAGAGUGACACAGACAGGCGACAGCGUCGCUGAGCACCAACUUCUAUUCCACGGAGGCAGACAGCGAAAACCAUUUCAUAACCAUGGCAAGGCAUGAGAGAAGCACAGGGUAGCUGCAAAGUUUUGGAAAAGACCUCUGCAACAACUGGAAGCACAGUGUACCCAAGUGGGGUAAAGUUAGUGAGAAGGAGCACAAAGUACAUACAGUCUUAUUGUCUACCUGGCAUGGUGCAGAGGGCAGAAAGAAGACAAAGAACGAAGAUAAAAGAAGCCUUUUUCCUCAAGAAGAUUGUAAUCUAGUGGUGGAGCUGGAAAAUAAAGGAAAGCAGUGGCCAUGUAUGUCAUGAGGACAUUCCAGUAACCCCAUGUGGUAAGGAACCAAGUCAGCCUGCCAACAACCACUGAAAAACUGAGCCCUCCUGCUGACAGCCAUGUGAGAGGAACACCUGGGAAGUGGAUCCUCCAGGCCUGGUCAUACUUCAGAUGACUGCAGCCCAAGCCAACAUCUUGCUUGAGUGGAGCCUCAUGAGUGACUCAGUCAAAACCACACAGCUGAGAUAUUUCCAACCCACAGAUACUGAGAUAAUAAAUGUUUAUUGCUACUAGGUUUCCUUCCUUCCUUCCUUCCUUCCUUUUUCUCUUCUCUUCUCCUUCCUUCCUUCCUCCCUCCCUCUCCUCCUCCUCCGUCUUCUUCCUCUUCCUCUUCUUCCUCUUCCCCUUCCCCUUCCUCUUCCUCCUUCUUUCUUUCUUACUUUCUUUCUCUUUCUUUCUUUCUUUCUCUAUGAAAAUAUCAGGUGUACUAUAUUUUACCUGCCUUCAUGUAUAUUUGAAUAAUUCCAUAAUAAAACUUUUUAAAAUUCACUUGUAUUUUUCUUUAUUUUUCUAAGGAUUUAAUUUAAAUAAUAACUAUUAAUAAUUUAGUUAAAAUUUAUUUUCUUUAAAAAGAGUCAUGUUAAGCCCCUUCACAAUUUUUCCCCAAUAAUAUUUACAUACAUUUGAAUUUUCC
This 1234-nucleotide long non-coding RNA is filed under the name Homo sapiens (human). RNAcentral describes it as "HSALNT0061874". Lineage: Eukaryota; Metazoa; Chordata; Mammalia; Primates; Hominidae. The record is from RNAcentral.